This 131-nucleotide microRNA precursor is filed under the name Hordeum vulgare. Its description in RNAcentral is "microRNA MIR1122". It matches the Rfam family "MIR1120/MIR1122 microRNA precursor family". The record is from RNAcentral. Lineage: Eukaryota; Viridiplantae; Streptophyta; Magnoliopsida; Poales; Poaceae.
CAUAUACUACCUUCGUCCGGAAAUACUUGUCCUAGAGAUGAAUGUAUCUAGACUUAUUUUAAUUAUAGAUACAUCUAUUAUAUACAUUUAACAUUUUUAGGACAAGUAUUUCUGGACGGAGGGAGUAUAUA